CCUACGGGCGUCAGCAGUAGGGAAUUUUCGGCAAUGGGGGGAACCCUGACCGAGCAACGCCGCGUGAACGAAGAAGUUAUUCGUAAUGUAAAGUUCUUUUAACAGGGAAGAAAGAGAAAUUUGACGGUACCUUAAGAAUAAGCUCCGGCUAACUACGUGCCAGCAGCCGCUGUAAUACGUAGGGAGCGAGCUUUAUCCGGAAUUAUUGGGUGUAAAGGGUGCGUAGAUGGCAUAGUAAGUCUUUUGUAAAAAGGCUGGGCACAACCCAGUAGGGCAAAAGAUACUGCAAAGCUAGAGUAUGACAGAGGCAAGUGGAACUACAUGUGUAGCGGUAAAAUGCGUAAAUAUAUGUAAGAACACCAGUGGCGAAGGCGGCUUGCUGGGCCGAUACUGACAUUGAGGCACGAAAGCGUGGGGAGCAAACAGGAUUAGAUACCCCUGUAGUC
Molecule: ribosomal RNA, 446 nt
Filed under: uncultured bacterium
Lineage: Bacteria
Description: partial 16S ribosomal RNA
Rfam family: Bacterial small subunit ribosomal RNA
Source: RNAcentral